CGCUGCAGCCGUCCCACCCUGAAUGCGCCUGCUCUUGUCUGAUCUCGGAAGCUGAGAGAGUCGGGCCUGGUUAGUACUUGGAUGGGAGAUGGAGAGUUAUUCAUGCCGUGG
Molecule: ribosomal RNA, 111 nt
Filed under: Sorex araneus (European shrew)
Lineage: Eukaryota; Metazoa; Chordata; Mammalia; Eulipotyphla; Soricidae
Source: RNAcentral